UCCCUGGUGGCUCAGAGGUUAAAGCGUCUGCCUCCAAUGCAGGAGGACCUGGGUUCGAUCCCUGAGUGGGAA
Molecule: transfer RNA, 72 nt
Filed under: Ovis aries (sheep)
Lineage: Eukaryota; Metazoa; Chordata; Mammalia; Artiodactyla; Bovidae
Rfam family: tRNA
About the family: Transfer RNA (tRNA) molecules are approximately 80 nucleotides in length. Their secondary structure includes four short double-helical elements and three loops (D, anti-codon, and T loops).
Source: Rfam by way of RNAcentral